UACGUAGGGUGCGAGCGUUGUCCGGAAUUAUUGGGCGUAAAGAGCUCGUAGGCGGUCUGUCGCGUCGGUCGUGAAAACUUGGGGCUUAACCCUGAGCUUGCGGUCGAUACGGGCAUGACUGGAGUUCGGCAGGGGAGACUGGAAUUCCUGGUGUAGCGGUGAAAUGCGCAGAUAUCAGGAGGAACACCGGUGGCGAAGGCGGGUCUCUGGGCAACUACUGACGCUGAGGAGCGAAAGCGUGGGGAGCGAACAGG
This 254-nucleotide ribosomal RNA is filed under the name uncultured bacterium. Its description in RNAcentral is "partial 16S ribosomal RNA". It matches the Rfam family "Bacterial small subunit ribosomal RNA", at positions 524 to 776 of the family's 1533-position model. The record is from RNAcentral.